UGAUAUUGAAAGAAGAGUGAAUGCAGGAAACAUGGUGAAUGGAGCUUUGCACUCCUUUAUGAACAGUCGGGAGGUGUCUAAUAAGGCUCGUUUGGCUGUGCAUGAGGAGGUGUUGGUUCCAACACUUAUGUACGGAAGUGAAAGUUGGAUAUGGCAGAAGAAACAUGAAAGCAGA
Molecule: long non-coding RNA, 175 nt
Organism: Melitaea cinxia (Glanville fritillary)
Lineage: Eukaryota; Metazoa; Arthropoda; Insecta; Lepidoptera; Nymphalidae
Exons: 2
Source: RefSeq, a predicted model, not a curated record